AUCAGAUGCUUUCCUGUUCCGUGAUGUGAAAGCCCCGAGACGAAAAGGAACAAAAAAUAUGAAACCUCUUCACUCAAGUAUUUCUUGGACUCUGAAGGUGUUUUUAAGGGUGAUUUUCCUCUCAGCUUCCUGCAUUUUUUACAAGCCUCUUCCAUUUUAAGAAAAAUAUCACAAGCUUCAAGUUGCUCCUGUGUUACAUCAUCAAAACACUGGGAAAAUUACUAUUUCAAAGCCAAUUUUUAUUAACACUUUUAAUUUUGUAAACACUAUUUUAAAUGUAAAAUGAGUCUUUGGUGCUCCAUCUCUUAAAUUGAAAAUAAUAUUUUGGCAAUGGAGAAUUUUGUACUUCACUAAUACACCAGACACAUUGAGAAAAAGUCUCAAAAAUUAUAAACCAUACCAGUAUAAAAUUAUAAACAGUAAAGACAUGUAAGUCUGCUCAAAUGACACAAUAUGAUUUUAUUUGGCUGAAAAUGAAAGAGUAAAUUAAGUUGAUCCUGAAUACUAUCCAAACAUAUUAUUUAAACAAGAGACUUCAUGUUUGCAGUUUUCAUUUUUUUUUAUCUGUUUUGUACUUCAACUCUGUCAAAAUACACAUUGUGAAACUUUAAUCAUAUGCAACCAGUUGCAUAUUGUUGCUGUGUUUCCUCAAGGUUUUAUGCAACUCUGCAUUCCAGUCAUCUGGCAAAGCAAGCUGUUGUGUUAAAACCCCAACCAAUUCUCAUGACUUCCACAGAACCUAUAAUUCUUUCCAAAGGUUUUCACUUCAGAGACUGAUUUGAAGAAGAAUAAAUUGAAACUUGGAACAUCUGUCCAAAAGGGCCAUGGAAAUGAUAGGUUUUUUUGCAACACAGAAGAAAAUCAAGAGCUUUUUCCUUGUGCCUGCUACAGUGAAGGAUGAAGAAAGAGGAGCAAAAAGAGAUAGAAAGCUCUGACAAGGUGUCUUUAAGGAACAUCAAAGCAAAAAAGAGAUGUUGCUGCUGAAGGACAGAAGAGGUGGGUAACCACAGCUCUCGAAUAGGUGUACCCAUGAAAACAGAGGGUUUCUAGCAAAGUGGAACAGGUGCAGCAGCAGACUGUGAGAGAGAAGAACACAACUGUUGGUAAGAAAAAGGGGGCAAACCUGUUUGAGCAUCAUUUUUCUGAAUGUUUGCUGAUUUGGGAUAUAUUUAUCAUUCCUUGAUUAAACUUUGAAAAUACUGGAAA
Molecule: long non-coding RNA, 1206 nt
Organism: Cyanistes caeruleus (blue tit)
Lineage: Eukaryota; Metazoa; Chordata; Aves; Passeriformes; Paridae
Source: RefSeq, a predicted model, not a curated record